This 71-nucleotide transfer RNA is filed under the name Cavia porcellus (domestic guinea pig). It matches the Rfam family "tRNA". Rfam says of the family: Transfer RNA (tRNA) molecules are approximately 80 nucleotides in length. Lineage: Eukaryota; Metazoa; Chordata; Mammalia; Rodentia; Caviidae. The record is from Rfam by way of RNAcentral.
AGGGAUUUAGCUCAGCGGCAUAAGCGCCUGCCUUGCAAGCAGGCAGUCGUGAGUUCAAUUCCCAAUACCGA